Long non-coding RNA from Panthera uncia (snow leopard), 2449 nucleotides. RefSeq lists it as uncharacterized. NCBI's taxonomy places the organism in Eukaryota, Metazoa, Chordata, Mammalia, Carnivora, Felidae. The transcript has 4 exons. The record is from RefSeq and is a predicted model, not a curated record.
CUUUGUUUGAAGUAAUCAUUGUCCCUAGAAAUGGGAAAUUACACAUUACUGUUUACCGAAAGGAAAUAAACACCUUGGAUGACUAGGGUUCUUGCCCCCAGAGAGCGAUCCCCGACCUUGCCUGCAAGCUGGGUGGGAAGCCUGCACACUACAUCCUGCAAACACAUUCACUUUCGGUGUUUGACCAUUUCUGCAGGGGAAAUGGUUGGAUCCUGUGUGUCCCACGAAGCUUGCUUGCCGUGUCCUUGUUACGUCAUCACGGAGGACCUUUGCUAGUCUUUUUCUGGUUGCAGAAGCAAGUACAGGAAAAAACAUGGGGAACGGGGCGUGUCUCCUGCUUACUCCGUUCAGACAUGGACUGGACUCUUGCUCUGUGUUCACAGGUAUCUGAUGAGCUCUCACUAAAUAAGAGUGAAUAGGAAUGCUUUAUUGAGACGGCCUGAGCCACAGGCAGGUUCACGCAGGUAGGAAAAGGUCUUGGAGGUGGCUCUGAGCACUGUGUCUGUCUCAGCCUUUCCGUGUUCUGGCUCCGUGGUCUCCCAAGCCCUCCCCUGCUUUUCACUCUGGCCAUUGUCAACCCCAGCAGCCUCAAGCUGGCCUCUGAGCCACACGCAGCUGUUUCCAGUGCUCUUUAACAUUCCCUGCUGUCUCCAGCCCCCUGACUUUUAAGCAGGUUUCUCUUCCCCAUCCGUUGGAUUUCAGUUUAGGCGGCAUUUCUUCCUGGGAUUCUUCUUCCCUACCCCCCCCCCCCCCCCCCCCCCCCCCACGUGCCUGUGCAUUCAUGCUGGUCUGUAGCUUCCUGUUCUCAGCAUUAUUCAUACUAAAUUACCGGUGACGAGUUGCUUGUCUGUCUGCCUCCCCCGUCAGACUGUCAGCUCUGUGAGGGAGGGAUGCAGCCUGCUUGUUCAGCAUCACAGCUCCGGCACAGUGCCAGGCACACAACACACGGCAGAAACUCAGUAAGCCCUUCUAUCGCUAUUUUGUCACUUCAUACACUUCCCCUUAGCAACAUGAACUGCAGUUGUUCGGCUGCCCACUCUUGUGUAUUUCGCCGAUCUCCACCCUAUCUCCAACCCGUCAGCCUCUACUUGGGUAACAAAAACAAACAAAACAAAACCUAGAAAAUCAACAAAAGAAACACACACCAGAACUGGUUCUCUGAGAUGACUGGAGCCUAUCGAUGCCAUGGCCCUGCCACGAGGCCCGUGCCUCUCUCCCAGAGUCACCUCCCUCCCUGCAAAGUGGAUAUGCCCUAAAUUCCACUGGAAUGUAAGCUCCAUCAAGGCAGAACACACCACAGCCUUUAGCACUGGGAUGCAAGGACCAGACUAAGCCCGAGGAAACUGGUAACUGAGCAGGGCAGUUUCGAUCUCCAGCCCCAAUGCAGGGAACCCAGACGUUUUCUACAGGAGGAGGAGUCGCUGACCAUUGCUGAGCAGGGAAGGUACAAGAUGAAGCCGGGAUGUGCAGACCCACAGGGGAGGUCAACGUGACCUGGGCCAGGAGGCCAUGGAGGAGGGGAAACAUGCAGGUUCAGGUGGGAAGGAGUUCUAUGUGAUCUGGGCAGAAGCAGCGGGAUGGAAAUGAAAGGGUAAGUAGAUGGGGAGGAGCGGGGAUGGACUCCUGAAGUCUUGGAGCCAGUUUCUUGAGUAUAUGAAGCAGAGAGAAGGUCGGGGCGGGGAUGCCAAUGAAAGGGAUUUCUCAACGGUUCCACCACCAGGGGUGGGGGGUGGGGGGAUGCAUCUCAUCCCUUCCCGGGCCCUCACCUUCAAAGUCUGCUAUUUGCACGUCCCCAAGAACACACUGCCCUCUUCCGGGUUCAGGCUUAGUACGGGACACCCAAAGAACGGACACAGCCUUUCUACAAACUUCCUUUCCACCCUCGCCGCCUGGGAACCACACGGAGGGAGGUGUGUCAAGACCAAAACUGCGCCAACAGCAGAACCGUUUCCCAGUCUCCCCCUCCCACAGACACAAGAGUUUGGCUGGAUGCUCUGCCGAGGGGUCGGAAGGGUCUUUCGGCUGCCUGUGCAAAGCUAAGGAACGGCCUCCUGAUUUUAUGGAGAGACGCAAACCGUGUUUGGAAUAAAUAUCCCUUGGUUAUUGUUGUUUUACAGGGCUGUAGCAGUGGCCAGGAAGAAAACCGCCCCCUCUGAAAGUUGUUUUGGUGACUGUUCUUUGGAGCAUUGUUCUAAAAAUGGGAAAUUACAUAUUGCCGUGCCAAAGGAAACAAACACCUGCACUUAAAGGAAUACCUUCCACGAGGUGGCUCUCAGAGCCCCAGCCAGUUCUGGACGCGGGGCUGUUACACAAGUUUCACUUGGUGCUUUCUUCACUUUUAAGGGGAUCGGGUGCUUCUCCAUUCGUAACCAGGGUGGGCUUUGGCGACUACGGGGCUCCGGGGGCUUUGUCUUUUACUCAUUCACUCAAUAAACAUCUAUCGAGCAUC